CAGUAGCCGCGGGAAUACGAAGGGUGCAAGCAUUAAUCGGAAUUACUGGGCGUAAAGCGCGCGUAGGUGGUUCAGUAAGUUGGAUGUGAAAGCCCUGGGCUCAACCUGGGAACUGCAUCCAAAACUGGUGAGCUAGAGUACGGUAGAGGGUAGUGGAAUUUCCUGUGUAGCGGUGAAAUGCGUAGAUAUAGGAAGGAACACCAGUGGCGAAGGCGACUACCUGGACUGAUACUGACACUGAGGUGCGAAAGCGUGGGGAGCAAACAGGAUUAGAUACCCCUGUAGUCCCUGUCUCUUAUAC
Molecule: ribosomal RNA, 301 nt
Filed under: uncultured bacterium
Lineage: Bacteria
Description: partial 16S ribosomal RNA
Rfam family: Bacterial small subunit ribosomal RNA
Source: RNAcentral